This 543-nucleotide ribosomal RNA is filed under the name Scarabaeidae sp. NZAC 03010484. RNAcentral describes it as "eukaryotic LSU rRNA". It matches the Rfam family "Eukaryotic large subunit ribosomal RNA", at positions 396 to 729 of the family's 3401-position model. Lineage: Eukaryota; Metazoa; Arthropoda; Insecta; Coleoptera; Scarabaeidae. The record is from RNAcentral.
UACGUGAAACCGUUCAGGGGUAAACCUGAGAAACCCGAAAGGUCGAAAGGGGAGAUUCAACGCGUCUCGGAGUUCGCGAGCGGCGUGCGUAUGACGGGCGGCCGUUUUAGGACGAUACCAGCCCGCUCCGCGCGUCGACCGAUCGGGCACCGAACGCGUGCACUUCUCCUCCUGUAGGACGUCGUGACCCGUUGGGCGCCGGCCUAAGGACCGCGGUGGAGCCCGGACGCCUUUGGCGCGUCCGGACCCGCGGCUUCCCGGCCGGUACGACCGACGGUACAACUACGGCGAGGGGCCGCGACAAGUUCGCGUCCGGCGCGUCGCAAGCGCGAACGGUAAACGGGGGCAGUCCGGGCCUGGUACCGGAUCCCGAACCGUUCGGCUGUUAGCGGCGCGGUCCUCGGACAGAGCCCGUCUCACGCCAGUCUACGGCGCUAUAGCUUUGGGUACUUUCAGGACCCGUCUUGAAACACGGACCAAGGAGUCUAGCAUGUGCGCGAGUCAUUGGGACUCAAUUAAACCUAAAGGCGCAAUGAAAGUGAA